AUGGCCGACGCCGCCGCGCUCGCCGCCGCUGUCCUCGGCGCAUCCACGCCCCCGGCGGCCGCCGCCGCGGCCUCCGCCGUGCUCGACUACCUGGCCCGCCACGCCCCCGCCGACCACCCGCGCGCCUUCUUCGCCGACGCCUUCNNNNNNNNNNNNNNNNNNNNNNNNNNNNNNNNNNNNNNNNNNNNNNNNNNNNNNNNNNNNNNNNNNNNNNNNNNNNNNNNNCCGGCGCUCGCCGGCCUCCUCCUCGCCCUCCUCGCCCCCUCCGGCCCGCUCCUCGCCGCCGCCGCCGCCGCCGACCGCCGCGACCUCAUCCGCUUCGUCUUCCCCUCCGAGCGCCUCCCCUACUGGCUCCGCGUCGCGCUCGCCGACGCCGACGCCGGCGCCCGCGCCCUCGCCUCCCCGCUCCUCGCCGCCCGCGUCGGCUCCGAGCUCCACCUCUCCGUCUUCGAGUACUUCCUCUUCUGGUUCGCCUACUACCCCGUCUCCUCCGCCGAUCCCGUCGCCUCCGCCGCCGCCCCGACCCACAAAUCGCGCUCCCGCAUCGAGUCCUGGGUCUCCACCCUCGCGCCCACCGCCGCCGGCACCCGCAAGCCGGGCCAGAAGCCUGAGCCCUGUCUGUACCUCAAGCUGCUCUACGCCUACCUCAGGGAGUUCGUGCCGACGGCCGCGUGCACGCCGGUGCGCCGGCUCACCGGCACCCUCCUGCAGCGCACGGCCAGCGAAGAAGGCGCUGACGCCGCUGACCCUUUUGCUCGCGCCGAGUUCUUCCUCCACACCCUCGUCCAGUUCUGGCUCGUGGGGGACGACUUCUCGCCGCUGCCUGUGCAGACGUACCGCGCGUUCGGACUCAAGCUGCCCUCCCGGGCUCGCGCCGAGCUGAGCGAGCAGCCGCCGUCCCCUGGGCUCGGGGACGCGGUCAAGCUGCUCGUCAUGUACCUCAACUGCUGUGUUGGUGGUCCUGCACGCAUGGUGUUCGAAGGAAUGACAGCGAGGAAUGUGGUCUGCGAUAGCCAGGUUGGAUUCUGGAAUCCCCUGAUACAGAGGCCUAUGUAUCGGUUUGUGUUGAGGGCCUUCUUGUUCUGCCCCAUUGGCGCGGUGAUAAAAAAUGCGACGCAAGUCUUCUCUGUGUGGUUGGCAUAUAUGGAGCCAUGGAAGGUUACACAGGAGGAGCUGGAUGAGUAUGACGUGUCCCGGAUGCAGGGGAUGGGCACACAGGUGAUGCAGAAAGGGGAGCUGCUGUAUACUCCGUCGUGGAAGAGUUAUGUGCUGUCCAAUUACCUGUUCUAUAGCUCGAUGGUGGUGCAUUUCCUGGGUUUUGCACACAAGUUUAUCCACUCUGAUGUCUCCUCAGUGCUCGUGAUGAUUUUAAAGGUAUUGGAAGUCUUGUCUUCAUCAGCAGAACUGGUGGAUCUUCUAUAUAAAGUGGAUAUUGCCUAUCAUUCUAAACUGGUUACUUCACCGUCAACUUCUUCUGAAUCAGAUGAUGUAAUGAAGUAUGUUCCGUCAAUCCGUGAGCAGCUAAAGGAUUGGGAGGAUGGUCUGACAGAAACUGAUGCAGAUGGAUCUUUCUUGCAUGAGCAUUGGAACUCUGAUCUAAGACUUUUCAAUAGUGGUGAGGACGGGGCUUAUCAUCUGCUUCAGCUGCUUCUGAUCCGGGCAGAGUUGGAGAUACAACGCCUGCCAGGCGACACAGUACAAGCUCUCCAGUCGUUGGAUCUGAUAAAAUCCCGGAUGAAAAAGAUCUUCCAGGGGCGCAUUGAAGGCAUCCACCACCAGAAUACUUCAGCGCAAGAGUUGCAGCAUCAACAUCCAGGGCGCGGCGAGAUAUUUACACCUAAGCAUCCCCAUUCGGGGAGGAGCAAGUUUGGCGAAGUCAGAUACAGAGGCGACUGGAUGAAGAGGCCCAUCUCGGAGACUGAAGUGGCCUGGCUCGCGAGGAUCCUUAUCCACAUCUCUGACCGGCUGAACGACGCCCUUCGACUUGGCUGCGACGGUGCUGCUGAUGAUAGCGUUGCUAACCCGACGUACAUCAAGUUUGACAGGAACGAUCUGACGACAAUAGGGGGACCGAAGGACGCCGCUAGGAUGGCUCUCGUGGCUAUCUGUUCGCUGCUGGCGGUUGUGGGACAGGCGGUGCUGAGGUUCAUGAGGGCGCACAGGGUAAAGAUCAAUCUUAGAGUUUUUGCUUCGAAGAAGCUGCUGGCUGGCCUCGUGUUGCUGUACGCGAUGGUGGCGGGGACAAAGAGAGCUUUUUAUUGA
Molecule: ribosomal RNA, 2262 nt
Filed under: Triticum aestivum (bread wheat)
Lineage: Eukaryota; Viridiplantae; Streptophyta; Magnoliopsida; Poales; Poaceae
Description: partial small subunit ribosomal RNA
Source: RNAcentral